AGGUGAGUACUGAGUAGCAUUUCGAAAGGCCCUUUGUUUUUAACGAAUCUUUCAAGACUUGCAACAUUGGCUUCAAUUUUCAUUUAUUGAAAAAUCGUAUAUUUAUGGAGUCUGAAGAACAUCAGCAUUUUGACAAAUUUCCUGUUGUUUUUGUUUAUAAAUGGCCAAAGUUACGUUCCUUUUACUUAUCUGCUCAAAAGCUGAAGCAUUAAUGUUUAAGCAAAGUCAAUGUUCAUAUCAUCAUCAUAACUGGGUGAGUUGAAAGAUUACUGAAUGAAGAAUUUUCUUAAUCGCAGGUUGGAUGGAUUUAUGGUUCUGUUACAGAAGAUAUCCUGACAGGCUUCAAGAUGCAUUGUAGAGGGUGGAGGUCUGUCUACUGUUCUCCCCAGAGACCAGCUUUUAAGGGAUCUGCUCCCAUUAAUCUAUCAGAUAGGUUGCACCAAGUUCUGCGAUGGGCACUAGGCUCUAUUGAGAUUUUCCUUAGUCAUCACUGUCCUCUAUGGUAUGGCUAUGGAGGAAAGUUGAAGUUGCUGGAGAGGCUUGCUUACAUCAACACCAUCGUUUACCCUUUCACCUCCAUUCCCUUACUUGCCUACUGUACUAUUCCAGCAGUCUGCCUUCUGACAGGAAAAUUUAUCAUCCCUACUGUAAGUGAUACUGAAUUGUAUUGCAGAGAUUAACACAUUGAAAACAAUGUCAUUCCUCCAUCCACAGCUAUUCUUUUUUGUCUCUUCCAAUAGUAUUAAUUUUAACCAAAUUUAUUUUUUUU
RNAcentral lists this long non-coding RNA (769 nucleotides) under Populus trichocarpa (black cottonwood). Its description in RNAcentral is "long non-coding RNA (PTRI_LNC000791)". The record is from RNAcentral. Lineage: Eukaryota; Viridiplantae; Streptophyta; Magnoliopsida; Malpighiales; Salicaceae.